Molecule: long non-coding RNA, 1601 nt
Filed under: Salmo salar (Atlantic salmon)
Lineage: Eukaryota; Metazoa; Chordata; Actinopteri; Salmoniformes; Salmonidae
Description: lncRNA (ENSSSAG00000101251.1)
Source: RNAcentral
AUCGGGUAAUAGCAUGGCUAUAUACAGGAAGCAUCGGGUAAUAACAUGGCUAUAUACAGGAAGUAUCGGGUAAUAGCAUGGCUAUAUACAGGAAGCAUCGGGUAAUAACAUGGCUAUAUACAGGAAGUAUCGGGUAAUAGCAUGGCUAUAUACAGGAAGUACCGGGUAAUAACAUGGCUAUAUACAGGAAGUAUCGGGUAAUAGCAUGGCUAUAUACAGGAAGCAUCGGGUAAUAACAUGGCUAUAUACAGGAAGUAUCGGGUAAUAGCAUGGCUAUAUACAGGAAGCAUCGGGUAAUAACAUGGCUAUAUACAGGAAGUAUCGGGUAAUAGCAUGGCUAUAUACAGGAAGUACCGGGUAAUAGCAUGGCUAUAUACAGGAAGUAUCGGGUAAUAGCAUGGCUAUAUACAGGAAGUAUCGGGUAAUAACAUGGCUAUAUAGAGGAAGUAGCGGGUAAUAGCAUGGCUAUAUACAGGAAGUAUCGGGUAAUAACAUGGCUAUAUAGAGGAAGUAGCGGGUAAUAGCAUGGCUAUAUACAGGAAGUAUCGGGUAAUAACAUGGCUAUAUAGAGGAAGUAGCGGGUAAUAGCAUGGCUAUAUAGAGGAAGUAGCGGGUAAUAACAUGGCUAUAUACAGGAAGUAUCGGGUAAUAGCAUGGCUAUAUAGAGGAAGUAGCGGGUAAUAACAUGGCUAUAUAGAGGAAGUAGCGGGUAAUAACAUGGCUAUAUACAGGAAGUAUCGGGUAAUAGCAUGGCUAUAUACAGGAAGUAUCGGGUAAUAACAUGGCUAUAUAGAGGAAGUAGCGGGUAAUAGAGAGAGAGAGAGAGAGAGAGACACAGAACAUGGGUGUGACAUUGAGGCGGAGUGGAAGAAGUAGAGAAGUGGAGGAACAGAGAGAGUCCCUGUGGAUUAAAGAGCUGUAUACCUGAGAGCACUAGUAAUGGUAUAUUUUAUAGGCACAGCUCUGCCAUGGCUCUUUGGCCAAAACAUCCCUAUGGGGAUUAUAUUUUAAUAAACAACUCAAAUAUGGUAUGUGGUAAACACAGGCUUAGGAGAUCUCAUCCGUUUUGUUCUAUGAGGAAAUCUAUCAGCUAACAUCACUUAUUUCUGUAAUCAAAACAAACACAAAGGCUUCAUAAUUCAUGAAGGUCAUGUUAACUGACUGAUAGUAUCUCAUAAGAACAUCUCCUAAACCUGUGUUCAUCUCAGACCUUAUUUUCAGUGUUAAUCCCAUAAACCCAUUCUUUCCCCACAUAGGAACGGCUGAACAAACCAGAAAGAACUAAUUUCAUUUCUUUAAGACGACAAGCUGCUGGCCAUCUCCAUUAUGUAGGUUGGGACAGCAGUACCACACACACCUGAUGUGACGGCCCCAACCUCAGCCCAAAUCAUCUGGAUAUGCCCCCCUUAUAACACACACACAGACACACAGACACACAGACACACACACACACACACACACACACACACACACACACACACACACACACACACACACACACCGCUCUAGAGGUCUGAACGUUUAAACCUUAAAACGAAGAUGGGAUCCUUAACGUUAAAGAAAAAUCCCACAAAAUGUCAAUGACAGUGCAGUUAUCACAA